ACAAAGGCCUUCUUCAAGGCCACCAAAACUCCCUCCAUGACAUGA
Molecule: non-coding RNA, 45 nt
Organism: Tribolium castaneum (red flour beetle)
Lineage: Eukaryota; Metazoa; Arthropoda; Insecta; Coleoptera; Tenebrionidae
Source: Rfam